AUAACUGGCGGGAAAAAAGUUCCAGAGUUAAACCAGAGAAAAGAGAUAGGGCACCCAGGGGAAGAUUGAACUUGACAGCUUUCGAGUUGCCCUCUAACGUUCAGUUCUUAUAUAGUGUGCCGUGCGUGCCAAACGAAAACGAAAAGUCGGGGCUGACAGAUCUAUAACUUGCAAGUCUGAAUGGGAGAAGGGGGACUAGUACCCGUCCAUGAUUCGCUGCUUGUUGCCAGAAGUAGUCGUAAGAUGGCAAUCCCUAAACAGAUAUGGCCGAUUUCCUCUUCGCUUUCGCAUCUGUUUAUGUUUGAGCAGCUUUUGCUUGAUUGAGCAACAAAAGGAGGCCUGUGAAAUCCUCAACUAUUUGCUGCUCAGAGAAAUAGUUUUCUAAACAGAUUUUUUAAAAUAUAUAAAGUUUUUGUUCACCUUUAGUCAAUUGUGGUGUUAAGAUGACUCCAAGGAAAUUAAUUAAAAAAGAAAAAGGUUCAGAUGGAGAAGAAAGCUUGCCUGAUAAGAGUCAUUCCACUCGUUUACUUCGGAAACGCGAAUGGGAUUCUGCAAGCAUUAUAAGUCCAGAAAGAGGGCCAGCACAAAACAAAGAACUUAGAAGAGAUAACUUGCAUUUGAAGCGGUCACUCACAUCCUCUUAUACCGAAACAGCAAAGAAAAAUUUGACUAAUACAGAGAAACUUUCAUCUUCUCUGUUGAAGGAGUCAAAAACUGAGGUAAAAGUUGAGAAACCAGAGCUUGAAACAGGGGACACUAGUGGCAGGAGCACCAAUACUUCAAAUGGUUUUGAGGAAGAUCCUUUGAUUCUCUCCCGGAGACAAAAACAGAUUGACUAUGGGAAAAAUACCAUAGCCUAUGACAACUAUAUUAAAGCCAUACCCAAAAAUCAAAGAACCAAGGAGCACCCCCAAACUCCCAACAAGUACAAAAAGUAUAGUAGAAGAGGCUGGGAUGGAUCAAUAAGAGUGUGGAGGCAAAAGUUGCAUGUUUUUGAUAAUGAUGAUAGUAAAGAAAAGGAGUGUGCAGCUGUUGGUUCUGUAGAUGAUGCUGAAAUCGAAGGUGCCCUGGACUUCCUCCCUUUUGAUCUAAUCGAUUCCGACGUCGUUCUGUAGACCACUUUUUACUCAUAGAAGUGAAACAACAUUUUAGACCCAAACGAAGACAUGCGCUUCUGCAGCUUAAACGGAGCCUUCAAUUUUCGCGUAGUUCAUUUGAGCGAUCUUAACUGUUCAUAACAGCCAAAUAUGUAACUUGUAAUUAAUUAAACACGUUCAAAGCUGUA
Molecule: unclassified non-coding RNA, 1285 nt
Filed under: Daphnia magna
Lineage: Eukaryota; Metazoa; Arthropoda; Branchiopoda; Diplostraca; Daphniidae
Description: histone RNA hairpin-binding protein, transcript variant X3
Source: RNAcentral